UAGGACAAUGUCAAGAAGGAAGG
This 23-nucleotide non-coding RNA is filed under the name Cricetulus griseus (Chinese hamster). The record is from RNAcentral. Lineage: Eukaryota; Metazoa; Chordata; Mammalia; Rodentia; Cricetidae.